ACGGAAGGCAGCAGUGAGGAAUAUUGGUCAAUGGGCGGAAGCCUGAACCAGCCAAGUCGCGUGAAGGAUGAAGGUAUUAUGUAUUGUAAACUUCUUUAGCAGCAGAGUAAUAAGGGGGUCGUGACCCCCGGUGCAAGUAUGCUGAAAAUAAGGAUCGGCUAACUCCGUGCCAGCAGCCGCGGUAAUACGGAGGAUCCGAGCGUUAUCCGGAUUUAUUGGGUUUAAAGGGUGCGCAGGCGGUUUUUUAAGUCAGUGGUUAAAUCGUGAGGCUCAACCUCAUCACGCCAUUGAUACUGGAAGACUUGAUUGCGGUUGAGGUUGGCGGAAUUCGUCGUGUAGCGGUGAAAUGCAUAGAUAUGACGAAGAACACCGAUUGCGUAGGCAGCUGACCAAGCCGUAAAUGACGCUCAUGCACGAAAGUGCGGGGAUCGAACAGGAUUAGAUACCCUGGUA
This 453-nucleotide ribosomal RNA is filed under the name uncultured Porphyromonadaceae bacterium. Its description in RNAcentral is "partial 16S ribosomal RNA". It matches the Rfam family "Bacterial small subunit ribosomal RNA", at positions 341 to 792 of the family's 1533-position model. Lineage: Bacteria; Pseudomonadati; Bacteroidota; Bacteroidia; Bacteroidales; Porphyromonadaceae. The record is from RNAcentral.